CCCACCUCCCAGGUUCCUGUAAAAAUUAACUCUAUCCCAGCUGAACCCAGGACAGAUUGUUACUUUCUACUACACAUGCUGCUGAACCUUGACUGGUCCUGAAGCUCUUACCUCAGGCAGACACCUCUUCCCAAAGGGCUGAGCCAGCUCAAAAGCUGCAAAGGACUCAAGGAAGAGCUGAGCACCAACACCAGAGAAACCCAGGAGCACAAUGAACUCCCUCAGCAGAGGCUGUGGCUCAAAUACCCUAACCCUCCGCCCACCACCCUUAGCACAAUCACCUGGGAAAGGGG
Harpia harpyja (harpy eagle) is the source of this 293-nucleotide long non-coding RNA. RefSeq lists it as uncharacterized. The record is from RefSeq and is a predicted model, not a curated record. The transcript is spliced from 2 exons. NCBI's taxonomy places the organism in Eukaryota, Metazoa, Chordata, Aves, Accipitriformes, Accipitridae.